RNAcentral lists this non-coding RNA (84 nucleotides) under Clostridiales bacterium. RNAcentral describes it as "c-di-GMP-II sequence". It matches the Rfam family "Cyclic di-GMP-II riboswitch aptamer". Lineage: Bacteria; Bacillati; Bacillota; Clostridia; Eubacteriales. The record is from RNAcentral.
AGUAAAGAGGGACAUGAUGAAGCAUCUCUUGAAACUGGGCACUUUAGAGAUGCGGAGUGAAUAGUGCAACCGACCCUUUCUUUA